GNCGUCAAGUCNUCAUGGCCCUUACGACCGGGCUACACACGUACUACAAUGGUGGACAGAGGGCUGCAAACCGGCGACGGUGAGCCAUCCCAGAAACCCUAUCUCAGUCCGGAUUGGAGUCUGCAACUCGACUCCAUGAAGUCGGAAUCGCUAGUAAUCGCAGAUCAGCAUUGCUGCGGUGAAUACGUUCCCGGGCCUUGUACACACCGCCCGUCACACCAUGGGAGUUUGUUGCACCAGAAGCAGGUAGCUUAACCUUCGAGGGCGCUUGCCACGGUGUGGCCGAUGACUGGGUGAAGUCGUAACAAGGUAGCCGUAUCGGAAGGUGCGGUUGGAUCACUC
This 342-nucleotide ribosomal RNA is filed under the name Xanthomonas sp. RNAcentral describes it as "bacterial SSU rRNA". It matches the Rfam family "Bacterial small subunit ribosomal RNA", at positions 1181 to 1533 of the family's 1533-position model. Lineage: Bacteria; Pseudomonadati; Pseudomonadota; Gammaproteobacteria; Lysobacterales; Lysobacteraceae. The record is from RNAcentral.